Molecule: long non-coding RNA, 2084 nt
Filed under: Zea mays
Lineage: Eukaryota; Viridiplantae; Streptophyta; Magnoliopsida; Poales; Poaceae
Description: long non-coding RNA (ZMAY_LNC004293)
Source: RNAcentral
CGUUGUGUGUUAUAAAGAGGCUGGCUGACUCGAUCUUAUUAUUACAACUUACAUCUGCAUGUAGCUUGAAUAUACGUGCAUGCCAAGAAACACUACUGCAAAGACUACAGAAGAAGACAUCAAUACUUAAAAUUCAUUCUGCAAACGAUGGUGAUGUGUUCUCGUCCGCCCGGAAGAACUCACCGGGGCCGCCUCCUUCUACUACUACUUGCUGCCAUCUUCAUACUUGCUUCCGGGAGCGGACCACGCGUGAGUCCAUUAUUCUUAUUUCAUCAUGCUUUCAUUAGGAAAUAGUAAUUGCAUAUAUAGCAUAUAUACACGCCUGAAGAGUAGUUGACACCGUCCGGACACACUAUGGUUUAUGGCUUUAUGCACCACAGUAACACUGCACAGCCAUUGGCGGACGCACAUAGCCCCUGUUUGUUUCAGCUUUUCGCAGCUUCUGGCCACUAAAAGCUGCUGCGGACUACCAAACACUCAACUUUUUAGUCAGCUUUCUAUAAAAUUUGUUUGGGUAGAAACUAUUCAAAAUCAACAUAAACAUAUAAUCGGUGAGUCGUUGCAAUAGUAGUAAUCCGUCACUUUAUAAAUCCUGAGCCCUAUAGAUAACUUUAUUUUCCUCCGCACGUAAUUCUAAUGAUACUCAGAUUCUCUACACAGCCAGAUUCUCCCCACAGCUAGAUUCUUGGAAAACCUGGUUAGAAAAAAGUUGAAACAAACAGACCCAUAGGGUUCUUUGUGGGCCGUGGCACACCCUAAGCCACAACACAACCCACCAAGACCCCGUCUCGUCCCAGUAUCUCCUUCCCAGUUCCCUUUUGGCCUUCGCGACUCCAGCGUCACGUCGCCGCCGCCGCGUCCUCGACGGCAGGAUGUCGCCGCCGCUACCAGCCUGCCACACGCCUGGUAUCCACGCUCCACUCCUCCACGCACCACGCGCAGGCACGUAGCCCGUUUCGUGCCCAGCGUCCAGCACCCCGUGUCCACAGCCGCACGUCCAAUCGUCCUACGUUUAUUAAUUUUUCACUACAGUUGUGUUUUUUGUAUUUUUUACCGGUGAAGAGCUGUUUUCAGCCGAUUUUUCAAUUUCUGAUCUUUUCAUUUAUGCCGUUCCCUGUCAUGUCGUGGAUCAUAUAUAUAUAUAGACACACGCAUCCGUGUCUAAAGUUUUAUUGUGCUGGAUUAGUAGUAUAUAUACAGAUUACAAUAGAAAUUUAGUCUUAAUUGUGAUUACUUAAAGGAGCAACAUUGAUUUGUCUUUAAUAGAGCAGGGUUGAUUAUAUAGAAUUGUAUAUUAAAAAUUUACUACACCAUUGACACACUCUAUAUAAAAAUCUAGGUCCGCCAGCUUACAAUCCAAUGCACAUUAUUUUUAAUGAUUUUGUAUAUUGAUAUGCUAUGGCAGUGACUUAAGGAAACCUUGAUUUUAAUUUUUUAAACACCUAGCAUUAAUGCCACGUAACAGAUCCUACUUUUCUUUUUGCAGAGCUCGGUUACUACAGCUCGUCCUCCUCCGGUAUAUCGCUGGCCUCCAUGAAAUUUGAUAUGCACAUGCUACACACUACUGGAGAAAGUGCAAUAUGUACUAGUUAGCAAUGCAACUGGCUACAGUACCAACGAUGUGGAUAUCUAUAACUAAAAACCCAAAUCAUUAGUCCGAGUUGUAUAGAUCAUAUACUAAAUAGUGAACUUUAGUACUUGUUUUUGGCUUGAAUAUGUACUAAAGGAUCCGUUUUUAGUACCAGUUCUAUUAGAAAAUAGUAAUUACAUGUAUAGAGUAGUUGGCACCGACCGAUCGUAAUUCACUAUGAAAUAGUAAUUGCCCAGCUUACAAUAGAAUGCACAUUUUGUUUAAUAAUUUGACCUGUUAGGCUAGCUUCAGCGAAGCGCGUAAAUGGAUGUGCAUGUGUAUUUUUGUUUGUAUUCAACUAUGUACUCUUCCAGGAGAGCGCGGAUGAGGAGGAUAUGAAAAAUGUGGACACCCAGCCUCCUCGUAUAUCAGAUCCAUGAUUUCUCUCUCAUUGGCAGGUUUAUAUACGCAUCCGUAUUCGCGCUCUGCUGGAAACGCCCUCACUUGUACUGUG